RNAcentral lists this transfer RNA (75 nucleotides) under Schistocerca americana (American grasshopper). Its description in RNAcentral is "tRNA-Leu". It matches the Rfam family "tRNA". From Rfam's summary of the family: Transfer RNA (tRNA) molecules are approximately 80 nucleotides in length. Their secondary structure includes four short double-helical elements and three loops (D, anti-codon, and T loops). Further hydrogen bonds mediate the characteristic L-shaped molecular structure. tRNAs have two regions of fundamental functional importance: the anti-codon, which is responsible for specific mRNA codon recognition, and the 3' end, to which the tRNAs corresponding amino acid is attached (by aminoacyl-tRNA synthetases). tRNAs cope with the degeneracy of the genetic code in two manners: having more than one tRNA (with a specific anti-codon) for a particular amino acid; and 'wobble' base-pairing, i.e. permitting non-standard base-pairing at the 3rd anti-codon position. The record is from RNAcentral. Lineage: Eukaryota; Metazoa; Arthropoda; Insecta; Orthoptera; Acrididae. RNAcentral also lists the same sequence under 1 other name.
GCCUGGGUAGCUCAGUUGGUAGAGCACUUGCCCGCAAAAGGCAAAGGUCCCGAGUUCGAGUCUCGGUCCGGCACA